Molecule: ribosomal RNA, 433 nt
Filed under: uncultured bacterium
Lineage: Bacteria
Description: partial 16S ribosomal RNA
Rfam family: Bacterial small subunit ribosomal RNA
Source: RNAcentral
AACGAACGCUGGCGGCAUGCCUAACACAUGCAAGUCGAACGAGACCUUCGGGUCUAGUGGCGCACGGGUGCGUAACGCGUGGGAACCUGCCCUUAGGUUCGGAAUAACUCCCCGAAAGGGGUGCUAAUACCGGAUAAUGUCUUCGGACCAAAGAUUUAUCGCCUUUGGAUGGGCCCGCGUUGGAUUAGCUAGUUGGUAGGGUAAAAGCCUACCAAGGCGACGAUCCAUAGCUGGUCUGAGAGGAUGAUCAGCCACACUGGGACUGAGACACGGCCCAGACUCCUACGGGAGGCAGCAGUGGGGAAUAUUGGACAAUGGGCGAAAGCCUGAUCCAGCAAUGCCGCGUGAGUGAUGAAGGCCUUAGGGUUGUAAAGCUCUUUUACCCGGGAUGAUAAUGACAGUACCGGGAGAAUAAGCUCCGGCUAACUAGGUG